UUUUUUUUUUCCUUUAAAUGUUGAAUUUGGGUAUUCUUUAUAUAGCUGAUAUCCUUAAAUCAUGAGAUUUUGGUGGUCACAGUGCCUUGCAUCUAGAGUUCAUAAGCAAAGCCUGAGCAAUACCAUACGGUUUCUAUGUAAGGUUCCUUUUUAAUAUAUAUGUAUUAAAUAUAUAUAUAUCAAUAUAUAUAUAUUUUAAGACUUUAUUUAUUCAUGAAAGACUCAGAGAUAGGCUGAGACCCAGGCAGAGGGAGAAGCAGGCUCCUCACAGGGAGCCCGAUGUCGAACUCAAUCCCAGAACUCUGGGACCACGCCCUGAGCCAAAGGCAGAUGCUCAACCACUGAGUCACCCAGGCAUCCUUCUUUCUAAUAUUUUAAUGUACCGUAACCCAAGCCCCCAACAAAACUGUGCUUACGUUGAAACACACAUUUUAGAUGAAAUAAUAAACCAAUGCUUUAAAAACUGACCUGGAAAUAGAGAUAUUUUGGUUAAAUUUGUAGAUUAUAUAGUCUUUUAUGAUAAUCUGUUAACACUUUAAAAAUAUUUCAGUUAUAUUCAUUAGUGAGUAGGUGCAUGGUUGUACCUAAAUAGUGACAAUUAGUUAAUCUUUGUCAAGUUGAAGGGAGGAGGCCUGUGGCUUUUUGCAUACUUUUCCUUGGCCCAGUACCAUUCGACAUUUUAAUUAGUAACUUAGAUGAAAUUACAAAAGGCAACUUUGUAAAUUUGUGGAUGAGGAGCUGAGAGACUCCAGAUUUAGGAAUCAAAACUAUCCUGAGUGGCUGGAACUAGGAAUGAAUUUAGAAAAAUUAAGAGGGAUUAAGGCAUAGUGUCAUAUAUGAGCCAAAAACCCAACUCAACUUUGUGAAAAAGGAGAGAUAAGGCAAAACAGCAUAGUUAGAAAAGACAGGAUUUUUAGCUCAUUUUAGUUAAAUAUCAACUCAGCAAUGUCAUGUGACUACUAAAAAUAGCUCUUAACAUAUUAAUUACAAGGGAGGAGAUAUCCCAACUGUGCUAAUAAGACCUAAAUGGAUUAGAAGUAUCACAUGCAGUUAUGGGUACCAUACUUUAAAAUACAGACCAUACCUCUUAAAUAGCCAUUGAAGGAAGAAGGGAUUAAGGUAUAAAAACAAAAAAGUCAUCAGGGACAGAAGAGUUCCCUGGAAAUAUAUAAAAGAGCUGUCAUGUGGGGGAGGGAAUAGAUGGACUCUAUCUCAGUGUUUAGAACCAGGAGUGCUGAUGAAAAUUGAAAUAGCACACACACACAAAAUUCAAUUUUUGAAAACCAGAAAAAUCUAGCCUAUGCACCAUGCCCUAAUUAUGCCCUAACCAAAUCAAUCAAAAUUUUCUGUGUAUUCCUUCUCCGCAGGUUACUUGGCUUCCAAUUUUUGAGGUUAGGUUUUAUCUUGAUGACUUCAGGCUUCUUAAACACCCAGACAACACUUAAAACCUAGGGUCAAAUCAAAAAGUGGAAGGAUACUGAACUCAUUCAACUGCAAACGGCAGGACCUCUCACAGGUUACUGAUAUCGAGGUAGAAAAGAUAGGACAGAGCUUCUAUCAUAGAUUAUCAAAAUAUUAGUUUGUCCUAAAUGAUCCUAAAAUUAUUAGCAAGAAGAAAUAGUACAGGUUUAUGUCUACAUUGGCUCUAUGUCAUAAUUAUUCUCCAUGCUGGUAUCCUCGGAUAGGGAAAUAGAUUUUUAAAUCAAUCUAGAGAAUGGACAGCACUGUCUAGAGAUGAAGAACAUUGCUGGGUAGGGAUUAGGUUCCCUCAUCAUCAGUAGACAAUUUUUGAUUGUGAGAUAUGUGUCUAUUUAAUGUCUUUAUUUGGGGAAUUUGAAGCAUAACCAGGCAUAAUCAUUCUUUUCAAUCUAGAGAUUCAUGAAUUGUAUGACAUCAAAUUCUAAAAGAUAAAGGAUGCCUGGGUGACUCAGUCUCCAAAUAUUGAUUUCGGCUCAGGUCAUGACCUCAGGGUCAUGGGAUCAAGUCCCAGGAAGGGCAUCGUGCUCAGCAGGGAGCAUGCUUGAGCUCUCUCCCUCUGAUCCUCCUCCUGAGCAAGUGUGCACACUCCCUCUCAUUCUCUCUCUGGGAGAGAGGGAGAGGGAAGAGGGAAAAAAGAAGGAAGAGGGAGAGGGAGAGGGAGAGAAUAACCAAGGGCACAGACUUAUGCGGGGCUGGAUCCUGGAUCCUGAGAUCAUGACCUGAGCCAAAAUCAAGAGUCCGAUGCUUAACCAACUGAGCCACCCAGGCGCCCCUUUAAAAUUUUUAAAAGAUUAAGAAUGAAAUUGAUAACAAGAGUAAAGACAGCAUAAUUUUCCAGGAAAAGGAUGAGAAGGGACAAGCCAAGCAAAGGAAUUUCAUUUUUAAAAAUAAAUCUGGGUCUUUGAAAUUGAAAAAAAAAAAAAAAAGAUCCAGGGGAAAAGGGGAGAAAAAGCAGGAGAUUGGGGACUGGGCUUUCAGAGAUGGGAGUUGAGACUGUAGAGAACAGUGAGAUGUUUGUGAGGAUUGGUAACAUCAAAGAUGAUCGAUUCUCCUGUUCUCCCAAUUGGCUGUAAGUUUUCCUCAUAUAUUAGGAAAUUAAGUAUUUGACUGGGGUGGGGAGGGUGAGCAGAGAAUUACAGACCUGAUGAAACCAGCUCUCGCUGCUGGCUACUGCCACCACCACAUCCAGUCCUUCAUAGUGAUGCCAACUUCGUUAGCCUAACUUCCAGCAAAUCAAGUCUUGCUUCUUGUCUCAUUCCCACAUCAGCUCUGUCUUAUGCUGUCAUAAUUUGAGUGUU
This 2777-nucleotide long non-coding RNA is filed under the name Canis lupus familiaris (dog). RNAcentral describes it as "lncRNA (ENSCAFG00845019158.1)". The record is from RNAcentral. Lineage: Eukaryota; Metazoa; Chordata; Mammalia; Carnivora; Canidae.